AGCGAACGCUGGCGGCAGGCCUAACACAUGCAAGUCGAACGAACCUUUCGGGGUUAGUGGCGGACGGGUGAGUAACACGUGGGAACGUGCCUUUAGGUUCGGAAUAACUCAGGGAAACUUGUGCUAAUACCGAAUGUGCCCUUCGGGGGGAAGAUUAAUCGCCUUUAGAGCGGCCCGCGUCUGAUUAGCUAGUUGGUUGAGGUAAUGGCUCACCAAGGCGACGAUCAGUAGCUGGUCUGAGAGGAUGAUCAGCCACCUUGGGACUGAGACACGGCCCAAACUCCUACGGGAGGCAGCAGUGGGGAAUCGUGCGCAAUGGGCGAAAGCCUGACGCAGCCAUGCCGCGUGAAUGAUGAAGGUCUUAGGAUUGUAAAAUUCUUUCACCGGGGACGAUAAUGACGGUACCCGGAGAAGAAGCCCCGGCUAACUUCGUG
This 434-nucleotide ribosomal RNA is filed under the name uncultured bacterium. RNAcentral's name for it is "partial 16S ribosomal RNA". It matches the Rfam family "Bacterial small subunit ribosomal RNA", at positions 29 to 507 of the family's 1533-position model. The record is from RNAcentral.